GAUGAACGCUGGCGGCGUGCCUAAUACAUGCAAGUCGAGCGAACAGACGAGGAGCUUGCUCCUUCGACGUUAGCGGCGGACGGGUGAGUAACACGUAGGUAACCUACCUAUAAGACUGGGAUAACUUCGGGAAACCGGAGCUAAUACCGGAUAAUAUUUCGAACCGCAUGGUUCGAUAGUGAAAGAUGGCUUUGCUAUCACUUAUAGAUGGACCUGCGCCGUAUUAGCUAGUUGGUAAGGUAACGGCUUACCAAGGCAACGAUACGUAGCCGACCUGAGAGGGUGAUCGGCCACACUGGAACUGAGACACGGUCCAGGCUCCUACGGGAGGCAGCAGUAGGGAAUCUUCCGCAAUGGGCGAAAGCCUGACGGAGCAACGCCGCGUGAGUGAUGAAGGUCUUCGGAUCGUAAAACUCUGUUAUUAGGGAAGAACAAACGUGUAAGUAACUGUGCACGUCUUGACGGCACCUAAUCAGAAAGCCACGGCUAACUACGUG
RNAcentral lists this ribosomal RNA (497 nucleotides) under uncultured bacterium. RNAcentral's name for it is "partial 16S ribosomal RNA". It matches the Rfam family "Bacterial small subunit ribosomal RNA", at positions 28 to 507 of the family's 1533-position model. The record is from RNAcentral.